RNAcentral lists this ribosomal RNA (253 nucleotides) under uncultured bacterium. RNAcentral describes it as "partial 16S ribosomal RNA". It matches the Rfam family "Bacterial small subunit ribosomal RNA", at positions 524 to 776 of the family's 1533-position model. The record is from RNAcentral.
UACAGAGGUGGCAAGCGUUGUUCGGAAUUACUGGGCGUAAAGGGCGCGUAGGCGGUUCGUUAAGUCCUGUGUGAAAUCCCUCGGCUUAACCGGGGAACUGCGUCUGAUACUGGAUGGCUUGAGAUUGGGAGAGGGAUGCGGAAUUCCAGGUGUAGCGGUGAAAUGCGUAGAUAUCUGGAGGAACACCGGUGGCGAAGGCGACAUCCUGGACCAACACUGACGCUGAGGAGCGAAAGCCAGGGGAGCAAACGGG